Molecule: ribosomal RNA, 422 nt
Filed under: uncultured bacterium
Lineage: Bacteria
Description: partial 16S ribosomal RNA
Rfam family: Bacterial small subunit ribosomal RNA
Source: RNAcentral
AAUUUUGGACAAUGGGGGAAACCCUGAUCCAGCCAUCCCGCGUGUAUGAUGAAGGCCUUCUGGUUGUAAAGUACUUUUGGCAGAGAAGAAAAGGUAUCUCCUAAUACGAGAUACUGCUGACGGUAUCUGCAGAAUAAGCAACGGCCAACUACGUGCCAGCAGCCGCGGUAAUACGUAGGGUGCAAGCGUUAAUCGGAAUUACUGGCCUUAAAGCGUAUGUAGGCGGUGCGGAAAGAAAGAUGUGAAAUCCCAGGGCUAAGCCUUGGAUCUGCAUUUUUAACUGACGAGCUAGAGUAUGUCAGAGGGGGGUAGGAUUCCACGUGUAGCAGUGAAAUGCGUAGAUAUGUGGAGGAAUACCGAUGGCGAAGGCAGCCCCCUGGGAUAAUACUGACGCUAAGACACGAAAGCGUGGGGAGCAAACA